CAAGUAAUUAAGUGCAUGUGGUGGAUGCCUUGGCAGUCAGAGGCGAUGAAAGACGUGAUAGCCUGCGAAAAGCUCCGGGGAGGCGGCAAAUAUCCUUUGAUCCGGAGAUGUCUGAAUGGGGGAACCCACCUACUUUAAGGUAGGUAUUGCAACAUGAAUACAUAGUGUUGCAAGGCGAACGAGGGGAAGUGAAACAUCUCAGUACCCUUAGGAAAAGAAAUCAAUUGAGAUUCCCUCAGUAGCGGCGAGCGAACGGGGAUCAGCCCAUUAAGUUAUGUGUGUUUUAGUGGAACGCUCUGGGAAGUGCGAACGUAGAGGGUGAUAUUCCCGUACACGAAAGGGCACACAUAAUGAUGACGAGUAGGGCGAGGCACGUGAAACCUUGUCUGAAUAUGGGGGGACCAUCCUCCAAGGCUAAAUACUCCUGACUGACCGAUAGUGAACCAGUACCGUGAGGGAAAGGCGAAAAGAACCCCUGUGAGGGGAGUGAAAUAGAUCCUGAAACCGCAUGCAUACAAGCAGUGGGAGCACCUUCGUGGUGUGACUGCGUACCUUUUGUAUAAUGGGUCAGCGACUUAUAUUCAGUAGCGAGGUUAACCGUAUAGGGGAGCCGUAGAGAAAUCGAGUCUUAAUAGGGCGUUUAGUUGCUGGGUAUAGACCCGAAACCAGGCGAUCUAUCCAUGAGCAGGUUGAAGGUUGGGUAACACUAACUGGAGGACCGAACCCACUGUCGUUGAAAAGCCAGGGGAUGACUUGUGGAUAGGGGUGAAAGGCUAAUCAAGCCUGGUGAUAGCUGGUUCUCCCCGAAAGCUAUUUAGGUAGCGCCUCGGACGAAUACCAUAGGGGGUAGAGCACUGUUUCGGCUAGGGGGUCAUCCCGACUUACCAAACCGAUGCAAACUCCGAAUACCUAUGAGUACUAUCCGGGAGACAGACUGCGGGUGCUAACGUCCGUAGUCAAGAGGAAAACAAUCCAGACCGCCAGCUAAGGCCCCAAAAUCAUAGUUAAGUGGGAAACGAUGUGGGAAGGCAUAGACAGCUAGGAGGUUGGCUUAGAAGCAGCCACCCUUUAAAGAAAGCGUAAUAGCUCACUAGUCGAGUCGGCCUGCGCGGAAGAUGUAACGGGGCUAAAACUAUGUGCCGAAGCUGCGGAUGUAUACUUUGUAUACGUGGUAGGGGAGCGUUCUGUAAGCCGAUGAAGGUGUGUUGAGAAGCAUGCUGGAGGUAUCAGAAGUGCGAAUGCUGACGUGAGUAACGACAAAACGGGUGAAAAACCCGUUCGCCGAAAGACCAAGGGUUCCAGUCCAACGUUAAUCGGGGCUGGGUGAGUCGACCCCUAAGGCGAGGCCGAAAGGCGUAGUCGAUGGGAAAAUGGUUAAUAUUCCAUUACUUCUGUGUAAUGCGAUGAGAGGACGGAGAAGGCUAAAUCAGCCUGGCGUUGGUUGUCCAGGUGAAAGGAUGUAGGCAUGUAUCUUAGGCAAAUCCGGGGUACUCUAUGCUGAGAUCUGAUAGCAAGCUGUACUUGUACAGCGAAGUGGUUGAUGCCAUGCUUCCAGGAAAAGUCUCUAAGCUUCAGUUACACAGGAAUCGUACCCGAAACCGACACAGGUGGUCAGGUCGAGUAGACCAAGGCGCUUGAGAGAACUCUGCUGAAGGAACUAGGCAAAAUGGUACCGUAACUUCGGGAGAAGGUACGCUGUUGUUGGUGAUGGAACUCGCUUCCUGAGCUGACGACAGCCGCAGAAACCAGGCCGCUGCAACUGUUUAUUAAAAACAUAGCACUCUGCAAACACGAAAGUGGACGUAUAGGGUGUGAUGCCUGCCCGGUGCUGGAAGGUUAAUUGAUGGGGUUAGCGUAAGCGAAGCUCUUGAUCGAAGCCCCAGUAAACGGCGGCCGUAACUAUAACGGUCCUAAGGUAGCGAAAUUCCUUGUCGGGUAAGUUCCGACCUGCACGAAUGGCAUAAUGAUGGCGGCGCUGUCUCCAGCAGAGGCUCAGUGAAAUCGAAAUCGCUGUGAAGAUGCAGUGUACCCGCGGCUAGACGGAAAGACCCCGUGAACCUUUACUGCAGCUUGACACUGAACUUUGACCUUACUUGUGUAGGAUAGGUGGGAGGCUUUGAAGCUGGAACGCUAGUUCCAGUGGAGCCGUCCUUGAAAUACCACCCUGGUAAUGUUGAGGUUCUAACUCUGUCCCGUGAUCCGGGACGAGGACCGUGUCUGGUGGGUAGUUUGACUGGGGCGGUCUCCUCCUAAAGAGUAACGGAGGAGUACGAAGGUGCGCUCAGCGUGGUCGGAAAUCACGCGUAGAGUAUAAAGGCAAAAGCGCGCUUAACUGCGAGACCCACAAGUCGAGCAGGUACGAAAGUAGGUCUUAGUGAUCCGGUGGUUCUGUAUGGAAGGGCCAUCGCUCAACGGAUAAAAGGUACUCUGGGGAUAACAGGCUGAUACCGCCCAAGAGUUCAUAUCGACGGCGGUGUUUGGCACCUCUAUGUAGGCUCAUCUCAUCCUGGGGCUGAAGCAGGUCCCAAGGGUAUGGCUGUUCGCCAUUUAAAGAGGUACGCGAGCUGGGUUUAGAACGUCGUGAGACAGUUCGGUCCCUAUCUACCGUGGGCGCUGGAAAUUUGAGAGGAUCUGCUCCUAGUACGAGAGGACCAGAGUGGACGAACCUCUGGUGUACCGGUUGUGACGCCAGUCGCAUCGCCGGGUAGCUAUGUUCGGAAGGGAUAACCGCUGAAAGCAUCUAAGCGGGAAGCCUACCUCAAGAUAAGAUUUCCCUAGGACUUUAUGUCCUCUAAAGAGCCGUUCGAGACUAGGACGUUGAUAGGUUGGAUGUGGAAGCAUAGUGAUAUGUGAAGCUGACCAAUACUAAUUGCUCGUGAGGCUUGACUA
Molecule: ribosomal RNA, 2889 nt
Filed under: Acinetobacter baumannii 45075_1
Lineage: Bacteria; Pseudomonadati; Pseudomonadota; Gammaproteobacteria; Moraxellales; Moraxellaceae
Description: bacterial LSU rRNA
Rfam family: Bacterial large subunit ribosomal RNA
Source: RNAcentral